AACGAACGCUGGCGGCAUGCCUAACACAUGCAAGUCGAACGAGACCUUCGGGUCUAGUGGCGCACGGGCGCGUAACGCGUGGGAACCUGCCCUUAGGUUCGGAAUAACUCCCUGAAAGGGGUGCUAAUACCGGAUAAUGUCUUCGGACCAAAGAUUUAUCGCCUUUGGAUGGGCCCGCGUUGGAUUAGCUAGUUGGUAGGGUAAAAGCCUACCAAGGCGACGAUCCAUAGCUGGUCUGAGAGGAUGAUCAGCCACACUGGGACUGAGACACGGCCCAGACUCCUACGGGAGGCAGCAGUGGGGAAUAUUGGACAAUGGGCGAAAGCCUGAUCCAGCAAUGCCGCGUGAGUGAUGAAGGCCUUAGGGUUGUAAAGCUCUUUUACCCGGGAUGAUAAUGACAGUACCGGGAGAAUAAGCUCCGGCUAACUCCGUG
Molecule: ribosomal RNA, 433 nt
Filed under: uncultured bacterium
Lineage: Bacteria
Description: partial 16S ribosomal RNA
Rfam family: Bacterial small subunit ribosomal RNA
Source: RNAcentral